Manis pentadactyla (Chinese pangolin) is the source of this 580-nucleotide long non-coding RNA. RefSeq lists it as uncharacterized. The transcript has 3 exons. The record is from RefSeq and is a predicted model, not a curated record. Lineage: Eukaryota; Metazoa; Chordata; Mammalia; Pholidota; Manidae.
UCGAGGGUUGUCGCUAGUAAAGAGAGUUCCUGUUGUCUUAAAUCACCCGCGGUGGUUUACUGCGAAAUUCAGCCAUUUAAUCUGAAACACAGACAGAAAUAACUGCAGCCGUGUGUCCCUGCAAGUCUUGGCUGAGGCCAGCUUUUACAUUCUAAGCACUUUAAGUACCAAGUGGCCUGGAUGGCUUGAAGCCAAACAGUAAUGUUUCCUUUUGCUGUUGCUGAGAAAGGCAUUCAGGAAAACAAUUGAGCACAAUAAGGGCCUUCCUGUUCCGGCGGGCGGAGGAGCGUGUGAACCACCCAGCAAACGUGGAGCAAAGCACCUGAAAUCCUAAGAGUUCCACUGCUGUGCCUGGAUACAUCUAAAGGACCCUGGGAAGAGGAUUCCAGCAACCCGGGAAGACUGACUCUUAUUGCAGGAGAGGAGACUAGAAGUUGACACCACAGCCAAACAAACUUUGUCACAAACUGUCAUCUCUCAUCUUUCUUCUAAGGGCCCAUCAUUCAUCUUUCCAAAAACUCAUUUACUCUCCCCUAAGAGGCCUACCUUUGCCCUCCCCUUUCCCUAUUAAAAUGGUAUU